AUUGAACGCUGGCGGCAGGCCUAACACAUGCAAGUCGAGCGGAUGAAGGGAGCUUGCUCCUGGAUUCAGCGGCGGACGGGUGAGUAAUGCCUAGGAAUCUGCCUGGUAGUGGGGGAUAACGUCCGGAAACGGGCGCUAAUACCGCAUACGUCCUGAGGGAGAAAGAGGGGGAUCUUCGGACCUCACGCUAUCAGAUGAGCCUAGGUCGGAUUAGCUAGUUGGUGGGGUAAAGGCCUACCAAGGCGACGAUCCGUAACUGGUCUGAGAGGAUGAUCAGUCACACUGGAACUGACACACGGUCCAGACUCCUACGGGAGGCAGCAGUGGGGAAUAUUGGACAAUGGGCGAAAGCCUGAUCCAGCCAUGCCGCGUGUGUGAAGAAGGUCUUCGGAUUGUAAAGCACUUUAAGUUGGGAGGAAGGGCAGUAAGUUAAUACCUUGCUGUUUUGACGUUACCAACAGAAUAAGCACCGGCUAACUUCGUG
RNAcentral lists this ribosomal RNA (484 nucleotides) under uncultured bacterium. Its description in RNAcentral is "partial 16S ribosomal RNA". It matches the Rfam family "Bacterial small subunit ribosomal RNA", at positions 30 to 507 of the family's 1533-position model. The record is from RNAcentral.